RNAcentral lists this ribosomal RNA (468 nucleotides) under uncultured bacterium. RNAcentral's name for it is "partial 16S ribosomal RNA". It matches the Rfam family "Bacterial small subunit ribosomal RNA", at positions 28 to 507 of the family's 1533-position model. The record is from RNAcentral.
GACGAACGCUGGCGGCGUGCUUAACACAUGCAAGUCGAACGGAAAGGCCCUGCUUUUGUGGGGUGCUCGAGUGGCGAACGGGUGAGUAACACGUGAGUAACCUGCCCUUGACUUUGGGAUAACUUCAGGAAACUGGGGCUAAUACCGGAUAGGAGCUCCUGCUGCAUGGUGGGGGUUGGAAAGUUUCGGCGGUUGGGGAUGGACUCGCGGCUUAUCAGCUUGUUGGUGGGGUAGUGGCUUACCAAGGCUUUGACGGGUAGCCGGCCUGAGAGGGUGACCGGCCACAUUGGGACUGAGAGACGGCCCAGACUCCUACGGGAGGCAGCAGUGGGGAAUAUGGCACAAUGGGCGGAAGCCUGAGGCAGCAACGCCGCGUGCGGGAUGACGGCCUUCGGGUUGUAAACCGCUUUCGCCUGUGACGAAGCGUGAGUGACGGUAAUGGGUAAAGAAGCACCGGCUAACUACGUG